CUCUCUCUCUCUCUCUCUCAUCGUCCAACCUUACAGGAAUCUCUUACUAUUUCACAUAUAUCUUUUUCUGCACCAAACUCGUAUCAGUCUUUUUAGUGUCAUCCCCGAGUGUUCGAUGAAAAUCCCAAACCAUCUUGAAAAUCAUUUACGCAACAUCCGUAACUGGACUCUAACUAACAGUCACAUUGCAUAUUCACUAGUUUGAGCAAUGUAGAACUUCAGGCCCCUCGACAAUUGAUACCGCCUGUUGGUCUUGGUGAUUUUACCCGUUGUGGUGGUGGGUUCGAUGGGGUUACUCUGCAAAUUUGGCAGUUUUGCUUGUUUAAGCGAUCGGGUUUGCUUGUUUAAGUGAACAUUUCUUGCUGCACGGUAGCUGUUUACUUUUGCUGAUCAGCGGAGCGGUCAGCGGGCAUGUGUCCUAAAAAGUUAUUUGAUCUUAAUUUGCUAUUUUCUUACCUUUCAUAUCUUUCUUGUGGAGGGACAAUUAUAGUGGUUUCUGGCUUGAUCAAGAACUUCACGUUCACGGCUCAGGGUUGUCUUUGCAAUAAUCCGGAGUAUGUCCGUCAAAUGUUUUCGUCAUUCCCUGCAAAGAAAUUGGUUUAACCUGCUUUCUCCGUUGGGGGUGUGUGCCUAUCAUUUUCCUUUUACUUAUCCCUCUUUUUCAACUUCCUCCAUCUGAUUUACUGUCAAAUAUACAAUUCCCACUUUCAAUUACCAUGGUUCUUGGAUGACUUCUGAACAGAAUAUCUAAAUUAAAAAAUUAUUUUUUGCUCAGAGGAAUGACUUUGGACAUGAUAAAUUAUACAGUUUAUAUGGGUAAAAGCAUGGAUUAGCUGAGCGAAUUGUGACUAGUUUGUUUAUUUGAUUGUUUACAUAGUUUAAGUUGUUUAACGUGUUAAAACUUUGCCACGUGAACCAAAGGUCAACUCUUUUGAAUGCGUGGUUUGAUUUUUUUUCCCUUCCUUUUCUUGUGCAGCAGACUUUGCAAAGGUGUGAGUAUCCUACUGUCAAAGAAUUCAGCUUGUAACUAGUGUUGAUUUCACAUAAUGUCAAGUGGGACUGGGCUUGAACCUCUUGUAGAUCCAUAUGCAAUCCUCAAAUCUGUUUUAAUGGAGUUUUAAAAGGUUUUGAUCAGGCCAAAAAUAGAAUCCUUGAUGAAUCUCAUGAGCGGGUUUACUCCACAAAGAUACAUUUGGCUAUGAGCGGAGCUGUAGUGGGGCAGGCGAGGGGCCCAGCCCUACCCAUUUUCUUAAAAGCUAAUAUUAGGUAUAUGUCAUA
Long non-coding RNA from Rhododendron vialii, 1278 nucleotides. RefSeq lists it as uncharacterized. NCBI's taxonomy places the organism in Eukaryota, Viridiplantae, Streptophyta, Magnoliopsida, Ericales, Ericaceae. The transcript has 3 exons. The record is from RefSeq and is a predicted model, not a curated record.